AUAUUUAUCAUAUGGCAGGCCUGUCCCCCUGGGUCUUUCAUAAUGUCCCAUGCCAGAGCAAACUGUGGCCCUGAACCAUUGCCUGGCCUGUGCCUAUAGGCUGCUGGCACUGAAGAGGGCUGCACAGUG
Small nucleolar RNA from Marmota marmota marmota (Alpine marmot), 129 nucleotides. The record is from Ensembl. NCBI's taxonomy places the organism in Eukaryota, Metazoa, Chordata, Mammalia, Rodentia, Sciuridae.